UAAUAAUACAACAUACACUCACCCACACCAUACUCUAGCCGUCACCCCUCAGCCCCUUUAACCCAACGCAUGUGCACGUGCCCGCGAAUAUGAGAGGGCGUUGAGGGGAGGAGCUGUCGUGGAGCCACCGCGUCUCGUCCAGUCGUUGCCAUCGAGGAUCAGAGAGAGCUGUCGCAGCCGUUACUACCAUUGUCGCCGCCGUUGGAGGGUCGUCACCAUUCGCUGAGGGUGAUAAAUGCGAGGAGGGAGAGAUGUGCGAGCUUAAGGGAGUUGGAAGAGUGCCGCCGGCUUUUGUAUGUCGUCGUCGUCACUGCCACAUCCUCCAUCGGUGCUACUGCACGCGAGCUGGAGGAAAGGGAGCUGUCGCUGCUCGUCGUUUUGAGUUGCUCCGUCGUUGCUGUUGGAUCUGUCGUGGUGAGAAACGAGAUGGAAGGGGAGCCGUUCGCCAUUGCCGCUGUUGUAGGCUACGCUACCAUGGUUGUGGGCGCUGGAACCAUUGCUUGAGCCGCUGCUGUUCAAUUUAGUCAUUCCUCUUUAGUUACAAGUGGAGCUAAGAUUGCGGUUGCCGCUGCUGCAGGCCGGGAGAAAAAGGACUUUUUGUGCGUUUUAUAGCUUUCGGAUUUUGACUACUCGAGGUUGAGACUUUAAACACCGUCUGGAUAAGAUGCAAGGGUUGUGGUUUGUCCUACUUGCUCCGGAUUAAGCGAGUAAGAUGUAAGGGUUGCGAUUUGGUCCCAUUUACUCUGCAUUGUGGUGUUCCAUAUCCAGCUUAGCUACCGGGUGUGUGUUGGGCUUGGCAUUAUAAUCGACAAGAAACGGAUGAGAAAGCAUAUGAAGAGUUUUCUGUAACACCCUACCAUUUAUUGCCUUAUGCUUAAGUCAUAAUUCAAUUAUGGUUUGGUGCUACGACACAAGGUUAAGAUAUAAAUAUGUAUAUAUAGAAAGAAGUAUUACACUAGAAGCCUGUGAAAGGAUUUAAAACUCGAGAAAAUUCGUCGAUCGCUCACACUCGAUAACGUAUAUAUAUAAGCAUGUCGGGAGAAAGGUAGAUAAUUAAAAGCUCGAAGGAAGAAUAAGAGUAAAGAGACAUAUAUAAGUAUCAACUAGUCUCGACCCACGAAGAUUAUGCCGGCUAGAGUUACAACAGUAAAACUGUUGGAUAGACAUAACCUAUCUCUCCAAAAUACAUCAUAAGCCUCUAAAGGAAAGUCUUCAAAGCAAGUGCAUAAUAUAAAUGUUUCCAAAAGAAGGAGAGUGUCUAAGAUUAAAGCAGAAUAAAAGGUCUUCUUCACUGUCCUUCCAGAUAAAUCUCCUGCUCACUGAGAAGCGUCGGGACCUGCAUUUGAAAAGUAAUAAUUUUCAAAAUAGGUGAGAACAUCAUCCUUUACGGGAUUCUCAGCAGGGCAAUAAUUUCAAAUAAAGACUAUGUAAAACCACAUGAACUCGUUAGGUAAUCCCAAUCUCUAAUCACAUAAAGUUCAAGCCUAGGGUUCUUACUAAUUUGAUCAAGGUAGACAAACUAAAUCUCAACUAUAUUAGUAAUCUUUAAAUCUCAAUUUUCCCUUAUAUAAAUCAUCAUCUCUCUCAAUAUCAUAGAUUCCUAACUCAUUUAAUAAUUCAAUAUUAAAAUUUAAUUUCAAUAUUAUCAAUUCAUUCUUAGUUUUUCUUUUAUUUUCUUUUUUCCACAAUUCUCAAUCAUCACCUUUCAUUAAGAACAACCCUCAGCAUCACCACCGUCAGUAUAAAGGAUCUCUUAGCUCUGCAAACACAUAUAAGACAAUACAAAGAAUACACAAAUAGAGAAAACAGAUAAAACAAUUAGCAUAUAGGUACAAUUAUUCAAAUGGGCAAGUCCAAUACAAAAUGCACACCCAAACAAAAUACACAAAUGCCAAUAAUGAAUACACAAAUAGAGAAAACAGAUAAAACAAUUAGCAUAUAGGUACAAUUAUUCAAAUGGGCAAGUCCAAUACAAGAUGCACACUCAAACAAAACACACAAAUGCCAAUAAUGUAUGCCUGUCCUAUGGUCAAUGAGCUCAUCUGUCGGUUAUACAGCCAAACCCGACAUGUCCGGUAGCUAACCCUGGAUAAUCCCUCGGUGUGUGCAUACCCAAGUUCAAACUUAUAUUCAUUGAUCAAUGUCCAUGGGGAAACAUCCGGAAAUGUAUAAAUGUCCGGCCACAUUUUACGACAGAGGGUUAACAAAGUCUCAAUUCUGACAGGGUGCAAGCGGGAUAAAGCCACCAUCCUUGCAUAUUAUCCCGAAAGCUCAAAUACUGACUGGGAGCAAGCUGGACAAAACCACAAUCCUUGUAUCUACCCCAGAAGCUCAAUUAUCAAUCAAAUUCAUUCUCAUUAUCCUCUCGAAUUAACUCAAUCUCAUCAUUUAAUCAUAUCUCAUUAUACUCUCGAAUCAACUCAAUUUCAUCAUUCAAUCAUAUCAUGUCAUUCUCAUUAUUCAAUCACAUCAAAUCAUUCCUGCAAUCAGUUCCAACUCACCUCAACUCAAUAUUUUCCUUUCCAAUACUUUCUACCCUCUAAUUCACCGGUUCAUACCCAUUAUACGAUUUACGAAAUUUUGGAACGUUAGGAAAAUGUUUUAAAGGCAUAAGAUUCAUUCCAAAUCCUAGAAACUAGUUAUCGGAUCUCAAAUAUGGGUUACAGAAGUAAAACAGCAGAUUGGAUAAGCAAAAAUAGUUAAAAAUCAUCAUCUUAGAAAAACAUGACAGUUGUGCGUACGCAUGCCUCGUGCGACCCACAAGUCCCCCUUUGCGCGUACGCACGGAACACGCACGAAAAACAUUCAAUUCUGGAAAUGCGGGUUGUGCGUACGCAUUCCUGGUGCGUAUGCGCAACUUCGUUUUUGUGCGUACACAUGAAACUCGCACGAAAUCAAUUCUCUUCUGUUACACCCCUCAUGCGUAUGUACGGGUCAUGCGUAUGCAUGACCUUAGUUUUCUGCAACUUAUGUAGAAUUUAAUUUUAAACUCUCAUAAAUUUUUCUACAAAAUUCAGUUUUCCUUCAUUCUUUGAUCAUUUUAAAGAUAUUUCUACUAGCUUUAAUUUAAGACAAAUCUCAUUGAAAUCCAAACUCCGAGCGCCAAGUUAUAGCUCGUCGAAGUUGGCUAAAAAUAUUAUUUUUACCAAUUUCAUCUAAUCCCUUAAUUCCAUCCAUUCUCAAUUCAAUUCAAUCCUAAACCAGUUCAAAACCAUUUCUACCAUCCUAAACACUCAUUCAUCAGUCCUCAACCAUUCCAAUCCUAAAUAACCCACUUCCAACUUAUUUAACACAUUCAAUUAACUAUAUCCAUAUUCAUCAACAAUAUGCAACAUCCAUAUAUUCAAACUCUCAAUCAACCAAUAAUCAAUCCUCUAAUUCUCAUACAAUAAUUCACACUGUUCACCUCAACUUAUCACAUAGGAGAUUUUCUCACCCUAUCACGGCCUCUGGCCCAAUAUCACAAAUCGUAAUAUUCAUACAUCUAAUUCUCAAUUAAAACUUCAACAGGCAUACUCAUUUUCAUGCAACAUGAUACCAACAUAUAUUACAAUAUCCACUUGCAAUAAUAUCACAUCACACUCCUCAGUUUCAUGUCAAAACACAUCAACCAACAUGAUACUCAUACAAGCCAUUGUUCAAAUACAUCAACAAUCAAUUUCAUUCAACUUAUUCUAGGGGCAAGUAACCUAGGUUUUCACAUAACCUUACAUAAUUCCUACUCAAAACUACCACCCGUACCUUAAUGUCGCAAUUCCAAGCUUUCAAGCUUUUCUUUCCAAAAUUCCACCAAGCCAAGCUUCCAAUUACUCUAUUUAACACCAUAUUAUAUAAUUUGGCACAAUAUUAAAAACUAGGAUUUUCAUAAAUUGAUUAACCAAGAGGAAAAAAGAGUUCUUUACUUUUACCCACUAAAAUUAGUGAUGAAUACCACUAAGAACACAAGCUAGAGAGUCCCUAUAACAUCAAAAUCACCAAAAGUCCUCAAUACCAAAACCAAAAAUAUGUUUUAGCUUUGAAUGAGAAUAUGGGAUUGGGAUUUCAAUUUAAUCACCAAACUAUUCAAAUAGAAUUGAAGAGGGAGAGACAAGCUUCGCGUGGCUGCAAAUGGUGCGAUAAUCGGAGCUCCGUAGCAAAAGUUAUGGAACUUUAAAGGUGGAGUUAGGAUUAGGUUUUCUCCUCUCUUCUCCCUUCUCUAAAUUUUAGUUGUCCCCUUCCAAAAUGAAUGAGGAAUGUGCUGAAUUGUGUGUUAAGUGUGGGUAAUACUUGGGCUUGGGCCCGGUGUAGCCCAAUUUCAUUUCCUUAGUCUGCUGGCCCAACUUUGGGCUAAAACCCCUUAAGAUACACAUUUUAAUUUGCAUCCUAAAUAUUUUUAUUUUUUCAAAUUAUAAAUAUUAAUUCUCUAAUCCUUUUUUGGUCUUAUUUAAUUUAUUUGUUAGUUGUUAAUUAUUUAUUUAUUAUUUUGCGAGAUUUUACAUUUCUGUGCUUUUUGGUUGUGCUUUAUGGUUGUGUUAUCUUAGAUUUUUGUUCCCUCGCCCUUGUUGUCGAUGUUUACAUUUUUGUAUAGAGGAAUAGGAGUUGUGGUUUUAUGACAGGAUUUUGUACAUAUGUACAUAUAUUAAAUGUGAAUGUAAUAGCGUUGUGUAUACAUAUAAUUGUAUGUAUGAAUGUGUGG
Arachis ipaensis is the source of this 4675-nucleotide long non-coding RNA. RefSeq lists it as uncharacterized. NCBI's taxonomy places the organism in Eukaryota, Viridiplantae, Streptophyta, Magnoliopsida, Fabales, Fabaceae. The record is from RefSeq and is a predicted model, not a curated record.